This 939-nucleotide ribosomal RNA is filed under the name Caldanaerobacter subterraneus. RNAcentral describes it as "bacterial SSU rRNA". It matches the Rfam family "Bacterial small subunit ribosomal RNA", at positions 572 to 1498 of the family's 1533-position model. The record is from RNAcentral. Lineage: Bacteria; Bacillati; Bacillota; Clostridia; Thermoanaerobacterales; Thermoanaerobacteraceae.
UAGGCGGUUUAGCAAGUCAGGUGUAAAAGACCACGGCUCAACCGUGGAGAUGCAUCUGAAACUGAUUGGCUAGAGGGCAGGAGAGGAGAGUGGAAUUCCCGGUGUAGCGGUGAAAUGNGUAGAUAUCGGAAGGAAUACCAGUGGCGAAGCCGACUCCCUGGACUGACCCUGACGCUGAGGCGCGAGAGCGUGGGGAGCAAACAGGAUUAGAUAGCCCUGGUAGUGCACGCUGUAAACGAUGGGUGCUAGGUGUGGGGAGCGGAAGCUUUCCGUGCCGUAGGAAACCCAAUAAGCACCCCGCCUGGGGAGUACGGCCGCAAGGCUGAAACUCAAAGGAAUUGACGGGGGCCCGCACAAGCGGUGGAGCAUGUGGUUUAAUUUGAAGCAACGCGAAGAACCUUACCAGGGCUUGACAUGCAGGUAGUAGCGAGCCGAAAGGUGAGCGACCCUCUCUUAUGGGAGGGAGCCUGCACAGGUGGUGCAUGGUUGUCGUCAGCUCGUGUCGUGAGAUGUUGGGUUAAGUCCCGCAACGAGCGCAACCCCUGCCUCUAGUUGCCAGCGGGUGAUGCCGGGCACUCUAGAGGGACUGCCGUCGAUAAGACGGAGGAAGGUGGGGAUGACGUCAAAUCAUCAUGCCCUAUAUGCCCUGGGCCACACACGUGCUACAAUGGCCGGUACAGAGGGAAGCGAAGGAGUGAUCUGGAGCGAAUCCCAAAAAGCCGGUCUCAGUUCGGAUUGCAGGCUGCAACUCGCCUGCAUGAAGGCGGAAUCGCUAGUAAUCGCGGAUCAGCAUGCCGCGGUGAAUGCGUUCCCGGGCCUUGUACACACCGCCCGUCACACCACGAGAGUCUGCAACACCCGAAGCCGGUGGCCCAACCCGAAGAGGGAGGGAGCCGUCGAAGGUGGGGCAGAUGAUUGGGGUGAAGUCGUAACAAGGUA